CCUACGGGUGGCAGCAGUGGGGAAUAUUGCACAAUGGGGGCAACCCUGAUGCAGCGACGCCGCGUGAGUGAAGAAGUAUCUCGGUACGUAAAGCUCUAUCAGCAGGGAAGAAAAUGACGGUACCUGACUAAGAAACCCCGGCUAACUACGUGCCAGCGGCCGCGGUAAUACGUAGGGGGCAAGCGUUAUCCGGAUUUACUGGGUUUAAAGGGAGCGUAGACGGCAGGACAAGUCUGGUGUGAAAUCCCGGGGCUUAACCCCGGAACUGCAUUGGAAACUGUGCGGCUGGAGUGCCGGAGGGGCAGGCGGAAUUCCUAGUGUAGCGGUGAAAUGCGUAGAUAUUAGGAGGAACACCGGUGGCGAAGGCGGCUUACUGGACUGUAACUGACGUUGAGGCUCGAAAGCGUGGGGAGCAAACAGGAUUAGAUACCCUUGUAGUC
Molecule: ribosomal RNA, 440 nt
Filed under: uncultured bacterium
Lineage: Bacteria
Description: partial 16S ribosomal RNA
Rfam family: Bacterial small subunit ribosomal RNA
Source: RNAcentral